UACAGAGGGGGCAAGCGUUGUUCGGAAUUACUGGGCGUAAAGGGCGCGUAGGCGGCCUGUUAAGUCGAACGUGAAAUCCCUGGGCUCAACCCAGGAACUGCGUCCGAUACUGGCAGGCUUGAAUCCGGGGGAGGGAUGUGGAAUUCCAGGUGUAGCGGUGAAAUGCGUAGAUAUCUGGAGGAACACCGGUGGCGAAGGCGGCAUCCUGGACCAUUACUGACGCUGAGGCGCGAAAGCUAGGGGAGCAAACGGG
RNAcentral lists this ribosomal RNA (253 nucleotides) under uncultured bacterium. Its description in RNAcentral is "partial 16S ribosomal RNA". It matches the Rfam family "Bacterial small subunit ribosomal RNA", at positions 524 to 776 of the family's 1533-position model. The record is from RNAcentral.